GCCGCUGCCGUCCAGGAGGACGUUCCCGAGCAGGCCGCUGCCGUCCAGGAGGACGUGUCCAAGGUUCCCGAGGCGGUGCCCGAUGCCGAGGCCGUUCCCGAGGCGGUGCCCGAUGCCGAGCCCGAGGCGGUUCCCGAUGCAAUGCCCGAGGCCGAGAAGGUGGCCGAGACAGAAGCGGUUCCCGAUGCUAUGCCCGAUGCCGAGGCGGUCCCCGAUGCCAGGGCGGUGCCCGAGGCGGUGCCCGAUGCCGAGGCGGUGCCCGAUGCCGAGGCGGUGCCCGAUGUAAUGCCCGAGACCGAGGCUGUUCCGGAGGUGCCCGAGGCGGUUCCCGAU
This is a long non-coding RNA of Cyprinus carpio carpio, 333 nucleotides long. The record is from Ensembl. NCBI's taxonomy places the organism in Eukaryota, Metazoa, Chordata, Actinopteri, Cypriniformes, Cyprinidae.